CAGCGCCACAGACAUCGGGCCACUUCGUGCGUUUGUGCUAGCGGUUAUCCGGUAUGCACCUACAACGAACCACAGGAUAACAAGCAGGAGAGGAUUUGUAUUUAUGAGUUUUCGGUAAGGGGGUCGAGGGAAAACUGUUUGAGGAAAGACUAAAAAGUGUAAAAGGGACCAAAAUUUUGGAUUGAAAAAUAGAAAGAAAAGAAAAAGCAGAUUUUAGAGGUGAUUUUUUUCAUUUUUUAUUUGUUUUCUCUGUUAUUGUUUUCGUUUUUUUUUUGGGUGUGCAAAACAGAAAUAAAGAGGAAGAGAAG
Molecule: long non-coding RNA, 308 nt
Filed under: Gossypium raimondii (Peruvian cotton)
Lineage: Eukaryota; Viridiplantae; Streptophyta; Magnoliopsida; Malvales; Malvaceae
Description: long non-coding RNA (GRAI_LNC001377)
Source: RNAcentral